RNAcentral lists this long non-coding RNA (1839 nucleotides) under Helianthus annuus (common sunflower). RNAcentral describes it as "hypothetical non coding rna". Lineage: Eukaryota; Viridiplantae; Streptophyta; Magnoliopsida; Asterales; Asteraceae. The record is from RNAcentral.
UUUGCCUCCAAUUAGUUCUCUUUUUUUUCAAUUAAAAGAACCUAGAUCUCAUCUCUCUACGUCAAAAGUAACCUGGAGUCAUCGGAACUGGCGGCACUUGAAGCAUCCAAAGGAUUCGAGAGACGAUAAUGUUCCCUGUUUCAAAUCUUUUUGAGGUGCUCAGUUUUUUCUGUCGACAAGGUGGUUGUGGCGUUUGAUUUAUAGGGUUAGGAUUUUCCAGAAUUGGGCUAACGGGAGAUCCGGGCACUCCAAAUAAGUGAGACAGGCAAGAGUGAGCUACUUCCGUACCAGCUUGAAGAAUUGAAUUUCUUGCGUUUCUCAUGGUCUAAAGUCUAAACAAACACAUGUGAUACUUGCAGACGAAAUGGAUCUUGGGAAACGAUACAAAGUAUUGCUUUUUUGGCAUCGUUAUCUAAAGAGAAUGUCUCCCCUCAUUUAGUAGCACCGCUUUCUACAUUAAGGAAUUGGGAACAUUAAUUUGCUAUAUGGGCUGCUAAUAUGAAUGUUUCGCAUCUUCUCCACACGAAGAAGAAACAACCUUCACUUUCAGACGUUAUUGCGGUAAUUAUAUUCCAGUUUUCUCUUAUUACUUCAUAUUGCAGUUUUAUUCGCUGUUAAAAAGUUGUGUUUUUCAAGCAAACAACAAAGAAAUAGGAUGUUUUGUUUACGGUGCUACAGUUUUGAAGAAUAUAACAACAGCUAUUUGAAGGUGAUGUGUGUUUUAUAUCCGUAUUUUUUAUUUUUAUUUUUUUGCCUAUGAACAAAAAAUAAUCUGAUGUAUCAAGGAUUUGUGAUUUUUAAUGUGGAUUUGUUAUUAUAGUAGAUAUUGCAGUACUGACCAAAAGUACCGGUACCAAAAAUGCCAAAAAGUGGGUACGAAUCAGUACCGAAAAUAAUUCGGUACAGUACUGGUCUCAAGUACCAAAUGCCCAUCCUUACCUUCUAUAUAUUAGUAGGUUAUUUUUUUUUUGUAUUUUAAACGGGUCAAACAUAUUAUGUUUUAAAUGAUUUAACUAAAGAGAAUGGGUUGAACAAAUCUAACUGGCUAGAUGAGUCAAGCUUGAUCAAACGGUUUGAAACUCAGCGGAAGUGUAUGUAAAUACACCAAAACCUAAAACGAGUCCUCGUUAAUGUUUAGAAUACAUUGUAAUAAUAAAGAUUUUGUAUAACCAAAAAUGAUAAAUGAUGUGUUUGUGGUCCGACUACCCAACCCAUUUCAGCUCACACUAAUGAUUACCUGUGUUGACCCAUUGCCACCUCCACUAUAAAGUUUACAUAAUUUAUGUAUGAAUAGAGGCGUUCACACCUUAUUUUCAAAUUGUGAAACCAUCCAAGCCGUUUAUCAUGUCUAGCAACUGCAACAUCGUGUCCAGUAGCAUAUGCAACAAUGGCACAACAACGAGCAAAGGUAGUCAUCCACUUUUUUACAAGGAAUGUGGUUCAAUAUUACGCACCGGCUAGCUGAACAGGUCGAUAGGGUGCGCACCAGCUAGCUGGGGAGUUUGAUUGGCUUUUACCCUAUGUUCAGGAACUGCUUGAUCAUAUCCUGUUCAAGGUAGUCAUCCACUUUUUUACAAGGAAUGUGGUUCAAUAUUACGCACCGGCUAGCUGAACAGGUCGAUAGGGUGCGCACCAGCUAGCUGGGGAGUUUGAUUGGCUUUUACCCUAUGUUCAGGAACUGCUUGAUCAUAUCCUGUUCAAGGUUCAAGUUUUCACCUUUUUUAAAUUUUUAUUGAUUGAUCAACUGAAUUUUAUAUGAGUUUGUUGAUCAACAAAUGUGUGUAUAAAGAAGUAUUUAACGAUUUGUGAGUUUUUUAAAUGUGUGUAUAAAGAAGUAUU